GGGCAGUUGAUCCGAGCGGCAAAGGAGGCUGACUGUAAAUCAGCUGGCGUAUGCCUUCGGGGGUUCGAGUCCCUCACUGCCCA
RNAcentral lists this transfer RNA (83 nucleotides) under Chloroflexota bacterium. RNAcentral describes it as "Chloroflexi bacterium (marine metagenome) tRNA-Tyr". It matches the Rfam family "tRNA". Rfam says of the family: Transfer RNA (tRNA) molecules are approximately 80 nucleotides in length. Their secondary structure includes four short double-helical elements and three loops (D, anti-codon, and T loops). Further hydrogen bonds mediate the characteristic L-shaped molecular structure. tRNAs have two regions of fundamental functional importance: the anti-codon, which is responsible for specific mRNA codon recognition, and the 3' end, to which the tRNAs corresponding amino acid is attached (by aminoacyl-tRNA synthetases). tRNAs cope with the degeneracy of the genetic code in two manners: having more than one tRNA (with a specific anti-codon) for a particular amino acid; and 'wobble' base-pairing, i.e. permitting non-standard base-pairing at the 3rd anti-codon position. Lineage: Bacteria; Bacillati; Chloroflexota. RNAcentral also lists the same sequence under 1 other name. The record is from RNAcentral.